GACGAACGCUGGCGGCGUGCUUAACACAUGCAAGUCGAACGGAAAGGCCCUGCUUUUGUGGGGUGCUCGAGUGGCGAACGGGUGAGUAACACGUGAGUAACCUGCCCUUGACUUUGGGAUAACUUCAGGACACUGGGGCUAAUACCGGAUAGGAGAUCCUGCUGCAUGGUGGGGGCUGGAAAGUUUCGGCGGUUGGGGAUGGUCUCGCGGCUCAUCAGCUCGUUGCUGGGGUUGUGGAUUACCAAGGCUUAGACGAGUAGCCGGCCUGGGAGGGUGAGCGGCGACAUUGGUAUUGAGCUGAGGCCCAGACUCAAACGCGAGGCGACAGUGGGGAAGAGUGCACAAUGGAAGGAAGCAUGAUGCAGCGACGCCGCGUGGGGGAUGUCAGCCAGGUGUUUGUAAAGCGCUUUUACCUGUAGCGAGACGUGAGUGACGGUAAUGGGUAAAGAAGCACCGGCUAACUACGUG
RNAcentral lists this ribosomal RNA (468 nucleotides) under uncultured bacterium. RNAcentral describes it as "partial 16S ribosomal RNA". It matches the Rfam family "Bacterial small subunit ribosomal RNA", at positions 28 to 507 of the family's 1533-position model. The record is from RNAcentral.